Molecule: transfer RNA, 87 nt
Filed under: Vibrio parahaemolyticus
Lineage: Bacteria; Pseudomonadati; Pseudomonadota; Gammaproteobacteria; Vibrionales; Vibrionaceae
Description: tRNA-Leu
Rfam family: tRNA
About the family: Transfer RNA (tRNA) molecules are approximately 80 nucleotides in length. Their secondary structure includes four short double-helical elements and three loops (D, anti-codon, and T loops).
Source: RNAcentral
GCCCUGGUGGUGGAAUUGGUAGACACAAGGGAUUUAAAAUCCCUCGGCGCUCGCGCUGUGCCGGUUCAAGUCCGGCCCGGGGCACCA